UUGAGAUAUUGGUUAAAAAGAAGCGAUAAAAAUGUAUUAGAACUUUUGCUCUUGUGUUUGUUGAAAUUCAUUAAAAUAAUUCCACAAUAAUUGUUUUUAUGCAAUUUUAGAAUGCAAUGAAUAAUAAAAUAUAAUAACUUAAAGUGAAGAAGACCUCAUGAAAAGCCAAAUCAUUUUGACAGCCGCUUUAACGGAACUUUCUGUGGCGAAUGGCAAGACGCUUUAUUAUAAUUAUUGUGUCAUAGAAAUAAGUCAGUUCACAAACUUUGUAGUGGCUUAAAAAUUGUUUUUAUGCAAUUUGGAAUGUGAUGAAGAAUAAAAUAAAAUGAACUGAACUAAAGACGACAUGAAGAGCAGAAUCAUUUUAACAGUUGCUGUAACGGGACUUUCUUUUUUUGUGGGUUAGGACAAGACGCUGUUUGUUUGUUGCGCCAUAGAAAUAAGAAUUAAGUUAGUCAACAAGCAAUAUUUUAGCGUCUUGAAAAUCUGAACAACUUGAAGCUCAGAAACGGACAAAAGGAAUAAUGAAAGUGUAUUUAAAAGAAUUUAAAAAAUAUUGAGGAUUGGUGCUCCACAAGGAAAGCAUUUUUAUUAUCACCCAUAGUGAAAUACACAUUUGGCACUCACAUUUAAGGAAUAAUGACAGAUAAAGAGAAAAAAAACAAAAUGGUCUCGCUUCAGGCAAAGAUUUUGGGGUUUCAAUUAAGCUAAAUUUUCAAUUUUUUUUUUUGAUCCCACAUUCAGGGAUAUUCACCAUUUCGGCACUGAAGAUAGAAAUAUGUAUAUAGAGAGAAGUGAUCAUAUAUUUGGUCCUAUGAACUAAAAAUAAGUAUACCAAAUUCGUAUAAAACUUUCCUCUAAAAUGUAUGCUGAUUUUUAAUACCAGCGGUGUAUUAGUUACGUCAAAGUCAUUAAAUGGAAGUCUAGGAAGUAAUAUGAUUUAAUUGAGAUGUCUUAUAACACAAUAAUCCUAAUGAAAAUUUAUAAUAUUGGCACGUAAAUCAUCGAUAAAUAACCAAGUCUUAAUAAUGACCCAACUUUUGCUGAUGAUGAUUGCGAUUGUGCCCUUUAAAAUGAUGCGUCACAAAUUGAUGGAACUUAUACUGCGGCUUGUACGUAUUUUAUUCAUUUUUGCUAUUUGCCGGAUAACAUAAUCCAAGAUGCUGUAUAUUGUUAUCGUUAUUGAUGCAUAGUUAAAAAAUAAAUAAUGAAUUUACGACUAAAAAGCUAAUUUUUCAUAACUUUUCCUGCGAAUUUCCAUCUAAAUGAUGUCGACAACUAUUGUCAAGUAAGAGAUAACUUCCAAUUGAUAUAUUCGUUUAUUGAAACAAUAAUUAAACUUAACUCAAUUUAAUAAAACAACAUUAUCUUCAAGAAAAUGAAAACGCAAACAAAUCAUCAAAAGCUAAGCUUUUCGUUUAUUAAAACAAUAACUAAACUCAACUUUAUUUAAUGAAACAAC
Molecule: long non-coding RNA, 1462 nt
Organism: Teleopsis dalmanni
Lineage: Eukaryota; Metazoa; Arthropoda; Insecta; Diptera; Diopsidae
Exons: 4
Source: RefSeq, a predicted model, not a curated record